GACUGCGUACCUUUUGUAUAAUGGGUCAGCGACUUAUAUUUUGUAGCAAGGUUAACUGAAUAGGGGAGCCGAAGGGAAACCGAGUCUUAACUGGGCGAAGAGUUGCAAGGUAUAGACCCGAAACCCGGUGAUCUAGCCAUGAGCAGGUUGAAGAUUGGGUAACACUAAUUGGAGGACCGAACCGACUAAUGUUGAAAAAUUAGCGGAUGACUUGUGGCUGGGGGUGAAAGGCCAAUCAAACCGGGAGAUAGCUGGUUCUCCCCGAAAUCUAUUUAGGUAGAGCCUUGAGCGGACACCUUCGGGGGUAGAGCACUGUUUCGGCUAGGGGGUCAUCCCGACUUACCAAACCGAUGCAAACUCCGAAUACCAGUGAGUACUAUCCGGGAGACACACGGCGGGUGCUAACGUCCGUCGUGGAAAGGGAAACAACCCAGACCGCCAGCUAAGGUCCCAAAGUCUAUAUUAAGUGGGAAACGAAGUGGGAAGGCUUAGACAGCUAGGAUGUUGGCUUAGAAGCAGCCAUCAUUUAAAGAAAGCGUAAUAGCUCACUAGUCGAGUCGGCCUGCGCGGAAGAUGUAACGGGGCUAAAAUAUAGCACCGAAGCUGCGGCAUCAAUGGAAACAUUGUUGGGUAGGGGAGCGUUCUGUAAGCGGAAGAAGGUGCAUUGAGAAGUGUGCUGGACGUAUCAGAAGUGCGAAUGCUGACAUAAGUAACGAU
This 717-nucleotide ribosomal RNA is filed under the name uncultured Symbiodinium. RNAcentral describes it as "partial Bacterial large subunit ribosomal RNA". It matches the Rfam family "Bacterial large subunit ribosomal RNA", at positions 595 to 1313 of the family's 2925-position model. Lineage: Eukaryota; Dinophyceae; Suessiales; Symbiodiniaceae. The record is from RNAcentral.